This 497-nucleotide ribosomal RNA is filed under the name uncultured bacterium. Its description in RNAcentral is "partial 16S ribosomal RNA". It matches the Rfam family "Bacterial small subunit ribosomal RNA", at positions 28 to 507 of the family's 1533-position model. The record is from RNAcentral.
GAUGAACGCUGGCGGCGUGCCUAAUACAUGCAAGUCGAGCGAACAGACGAGGAGCUUGCUCCUCUGACGUUAGCGGCGGACGGGUGAGUAACACGUGGAUAACCUACCUAUAAGACUGGGAUAACUUCGGGAAACCGGAGCUAAUACCGGGUAAUAUAUUGAACCGCAUGGUUCAAUAGUGAAAGACGGUUUUGCUGUCACUUAUAGAUGGAUCCGCGCCGCAUUAGCUAGUUGGUAAGGUAACGGCUUACCAAGGCAACGAUGCGUAGCCGACCUGAGAGGCUGAUAGGCCACACAGGAACUGAGACACGGACCAGACUCCUACGAGAGGCAGCAGUAGGGACUCUUCCGCAAUGAGCGAGAGCCUGACGGAGCAACGCCGCGUGAGUGAUGAAGGUCUUCGGAUCGUAAAACUGUGUUAUUAGGGAAGAACAAAUGUUUAAGUAACUAUGCACGUCUUGACGGUACCUAAUCAGAAAGCCACGGCUAACUACGUG